AGUGCUGGGAUUAUAGGCGUGAGCCACCGUGCCCAGCCUGUACUCCAUUUUUUAAAAAAUAAAACUUUUCAUUCCAUGCUCUUUGAUCUAUUAUAACUUGAGUGGAAUUGGUCUCACAUUUUAUACAAUGAAGAUACUUUUAUUUUAUCGUGAUUACUCUUUUGCCUUUUUUGUUGGUUAGAGGAAAAAAGAAUCCUUAAAGAUGAGUGUGAAAAUUUGAUUUAUUUUUUAAUUCACAAAAGCUGAAAGUUGAACAUGUAGAUGAUUUUUCUUUUAAGAUAGAUAAUUAAAUAUGUAUAGAUUAUCUCAAUUUCUGUCAUCUUGUGCCUGAGAGAUUGAAGGAAAAUCUGGAAAUAAGAGGCAACCACUUCAAACUUUGCAACUUCAUGCAUUUAGCAACUGAGCCACUUCCAAAUCUGUAGUUUGGUCAUGACCUUAGUUCUUAAAAGUCAGAGUGGAAUCCUCAUCUUCUGGUCUCCUUGGAUUUUCAGUUCAGUACCACAAACUUUUGAAAAACUACUGGUGGGUUUUUGAAAUGCCAGAUUGUGUGCCAUGAUCUUUGCUCUUAGGCAGUUUAAAUUUCGGGAGGGAUACAUGGCAAUUUAUUGUAUUCAUUCACUCAUUCAUUCAGCGCUUAUUGCUGGGGGCUGUAGAAACAGAGGUGAUGAAAAUUAGAAGGCCUGUUUGACCGUUGUGGUGGAGGCGGCAGCUGACGUUUAUUUAGCACGUUGUUUCUGAAGCUUUUAAAGAACUUUCCUUGUUAUUAUGUCUUACUAAUUCAUGAAGAUGAUGCUGUUAUCACCCCUGUUUUACAAGAGAUUGAAUAACUUGAUCAAGGUCUCAGAGCUACUGAGGGUCUGAGCCAGGAUCCUAACCCAGGCUGCAGCUGUGCUGACGGCAUUUCUCGUUAUGGGGAAAGGUGUGACCAACUAGCUGACAUCAGAAGCCCCAGGGGGUUAAGGCUGUGUCCUGGGGUCUGCAUUUGUCUCCCAGCCUCCGAGUCCUUCUGCCCUUUCCUCUGUGGGCCUGUACAGGAGCAGGGUUCCCCCCUGGUUACCCUCUGUCAGGGCACACACUUUGCUGAUGCAAUAUUACCUGCCUCGUGCCUUCCUUGGGUUUGGUAGUAUGAUCCUUCUGUAGAGGCGGGUCGAGGCACAAAGAAGGAAAUAACUCAUCCACGGCCCACAGCUCAAAAUAAAUGGCAGUGAGCUUCAUCCUGCUGACUAGUAUUUUGUACCCUUUUCUUUAGAACUUACUUUUCUACUCAAUGCUGCAGAACUGGGACCCCAAGUACUUUAGAAUAAUUUUUAUCAGCGGCUGAAACAACAGUGACAUUCUGUGUAAUUCUCACUCUGGUUGGAAGAAGAGGUUUUAGGAGCCUUGUGAUUCUGCACAGUAUUGGCUCUUAUCGUUUCUCCCUUAAAGGUGUGUGUACACAGCUUUCCAAAGGGAGGGAAUGGAGUGUUGCUACCAGCUUCCUCCGUGUAGGUUCGUUUUCUCUUCCGGACGGGCCAGCAUAAGCUUGUGCACCGUAGGAGCUGCUGGCCUCAUCCAGCCGGUGUGACAGUACCCGCUUGGGCCUGUGUGGCUGAACUGAACCACGUUCCCAUCCUUGGCUGCACAGAGGAUGCUGUGUGGAAUAGAGCUGGCCAGCACACACAGGCUUCUCCCACCAGGCUGUAAGAGGUUGCAGGAGAAAGGUGCCCCUGACGAGCAGAGGCCUUGGUGCUCCCUGCUCCCCCUUGUUCCUUCAGGAGGCUGGUGAGCCUCAGUGACUCUCCUUCUUGUCUAAAGGGUGGCACUGGGCUCACAAGCAAGUAGAAGCCUGAGGCCGGCCAGCCAGAUGGAGAGUAGAUAGAGCUGUAAGAUCCAAGGGCACAGGUGGCCGCCUCACUGCCUCAUCCACAGAAGCACUGAGUAGGUGCACAAGGAGGGCCUCUGGGACUGUGCUUGCGUGAGUCCCACGGCUGUGCGGGCACUGGGCUCCUGUUGAUGACUGAGUUUCCCAGGCAGUUUUCAUUUUGAGGUGAGUCUGUUUCAUUCAUUCAGUCACAGCAUCCUCAGCUGCUGUUGCAGCAAGUCUGUGCUACCUGGAAUGAGCCUGGGGCCCCUUCCUCUAGGUUGGUAUUCAGACCAGCGUGCUUGACUGCAUUAGGAAGUGCAUUCUGAGCAAACCUCUAGAGGUUUCUUUGCAACCUGAUAACACCUCCUCCUACUUGUAUGUUGGCAUUUUAUGUCUCCAGUAGGUUUUAGGGAGAGAUUUAAGCUGCUCCGUCUUUCUGGGAUGUUUGUAGUACAGUCCAGUUGUAUAAUUUCAGUGGCCUGAAUAUUGAGCCGUGGCCUUCUCCAGGAGGAGCAAGUCUUCAUCAUAGGAUUUGAGGCCGAGGGGUCUUUAGAGACUGCCAGGCCCAGCCUCCCCAGGCCACACCGUUAUGUGGAUGAGGUGAUAGAGCUGUGUGCUGCCUCUCUGAAGAGUGCUGUGAAUCGGUAGAAAGAAAUGCUAAUAGGUCCCCAGUUUGAAUGGGGAAAACAUUUGCUGUAUCAGCUGAUGGACCCUAAAUCACCCACUUUCUGUGGGUUUUGUUGUUUGGACAUGGUUCUUGGGUUCUUCUCAGUCGCUCUGUCUGGACCCAGAUGUGUGAAGUCGAAUGGCUAAGGGUGGUUGAAGUCAGGGUCAUCCGAGUAGAGCCAUUUGUUCUUAGUUAAAAAGGCCCAGGCCACAUGGGGCUCAGUGACUUAGCGCUGCGCAUUAAAGGUGGACGGUUGGACGUUUGAGACCCUUCAGUCCUCCACCGUCAUCUAACAGGUGGGGCAAUAAGGGCCUAGAACCUGCUGAACCUGCUGGUGGGACAGAGGCAGGUCUAUAGCUGCCCCCUCCAGGCCACCACCAUCUUCGUUGCGCUAUUUCAAGGCCUCGUGGAAGCCAUGGGCUGCUGCUCCCGCUUGUCUGUGUUGUGUUCGUCUGUGUUGCACGUCCUAGUUUCUUUCAUACAUUCCCUCUGGCCCUUGCAAGUGUGAUCUCUCCCUCCUGUCUCCCUCCCUUUCUCCCUCCCUCUUCCUCCCUCACGCUGUUGCCAGGAGUGGGAGGUGGCAGAGACGCCUGCCCAAGGAACCUGGCCAGAGAUAUCAUGAGGACUGCCUGGCUCUCCAUAUCAACCUGUUCAGUAGUCUGCCUGUUCUUUCUGAGGAUUCUGUGGCCACCUUUCCAUUCUGUUGCUAACUUUGGGGACCUGUUUGUUUAGCUCUUUCUCAUCAAGAGAGAUUCAGAAAAAUUGCCAGGGCUUUUAGAAUCCUGCCCUCACCUGAUAAACUCGCCUUUUAAUGCCAGCUGUGAAUGAGAGAAGGACGCUCUUUGUACACUUGCAUAAAUGAGGUGCUCUGAGCUACGUUGGGUUGUCUAGGAAACAUGCCUUUGGAGGGCGGCAAGGACGGAGGGCUGGGGUAUUAGAGGCGAACAGGAGAGAUUUGCAAAACAAAGCAAAUAAAAACAAACCUGCAUAUCUUCAAAUAAAACAUUUUAGCUGAAAGAGAGAAAACAAGAAAUCAAAGCCCCUUAAGCAGGAAAGAUUUUCAUUUUCAUUUUCAGUCUUAAAUUGACAAGUAAGAUGGCAUGCAGACCUUUUUCCCCUUUGUUCUACGCCAGAGCAAGACUUUGUUAAAGAAACAGUAUUAGAGUUUCCCACCAACUCUUGACUGCUCACCAUUUAAGAGUCAUUUUUAUACAGGGUCAUGCCUUUGUAGUCAAGAGCCUACAUUCUUGGUAAUGCCCUUUGAGAUUUUCCCACAUGCUGGGUGCCCAUGGGGGUAGAGUCUCCUCCACCAAAACCUUGGUUGCAGUCAUGAGCUUUGCUCAUCCCCCCACGGUGGGUUUCUCACUCCGGGUGUGUAUUGGUCGAUAACCCUUUGAGUCUCUGGAGUUGGUCUCUCUGUGUUCCGUGGCAAUGGUUUGUGCUCAGCUUGGUUUGGGAAAUCUUUGAUGCAGCACAGAAGCUGUCUUCCCUCUUUGGUCUUUGUCCCCGUGGGGCAGAAGCUGCAAUUUCUCAAGAAGAAAGAAAUGAUAGUUGCUGAAACGGAGCCUGCUCCUAUUGUUAAGAGGCCCCGUGAGACAGGUAAAGACCGUGCCUUUCUCCACAGAAUCAAUUUCAUCUUGUAAGCACGGCCAAACAGAAACAUGCUACCGAAGUCAGAAAAUCAGAAAAUCAGAAAAUCACCGGAGAGGCCCGUCACACACAUUUACCUUAUGCAGACUGAACACUAUGUGCCGGGGGUGAGAGCCACACAGGUAGAUCAGCCUGCUUCCAGGCACGGGAGUUCUGUCUGCCUUUCGCUGAGGAGCAGAAGCCCUGUGGGAAGCAGGAGUGGAGCGCCACUUCUGAGUGAGGGUCACUCAUUUCAUCUGAUGUUGGGAAGAAAUGACAGUCUGACCCAAUGAGGGAGCACAAAUUUGGGCUCCUAAAAGAGUCUUUGUUCAAGAGACUGAUUGUGUCGCAUUUUGCUUCUCUUCCAUUUUUGAGUCCUGUCUUCACACCUGACCCUCAAAGAAGACGCAACAUCAAGGUCCACCCGAAUACCUGGAACCACCAUGAGCAUGACAACAGCCGGUCACACUCGUGUGGUUCAGGGAGUCAGAGGCUGUGAGUGCCAGAGGGAACCUCGGGAUCAUCUGAGUCAUCCUCCCCAUUCUCAGGGAAACCUAUGCCAGAGAAAGAAGUUGGUUUUCCGAGGGCCCCAUCUGUGAUGGAGCUGAGCCUGACCCCGUCCCCCAUGUCUGCUCUGAUGCUCCCCUCCAGCCCUGCCUCCUGCCACAAUGUUUGUGUGGGGCCUUGAAGAGGGCAUGGCCUGCUUUAAAUGUUCCCAUGUAGAUCUGGGGUAUGUCUGGCAGUUAUUCCUACUCGUUUGGUGAUAGAGCAAAUGGAGGCUUCAGAUGGAAGCGUCUGAAUGGAUCUCUUGUUAGCAAAUUUAUAUCAUUUCAUCCAUCUGCCGACCAGGUAUCUCUGCACGCAGGGAACUUUUAUUCUUUUGGUGGGGAGAGAGAAAUACUAAGUUGGAUAUUGGCAAGCACUAAGAAGCACUAAGAAGAAAGAACUGAGAAAGGAAAAGAAAGUGUUGCAGUCUUUAAUGCUGGCUCAGCAAGGCCUCACUGAGCCGGUCAGCAGUGACGGGAGUGGUGAGCACCAUGCGCAAGGGCAGGCAAGUGAGUGCGGAGACUUCCAGGGGGCCCUGAGGCCUGAGCCGAGGCUGCUGGGGCUGGAGCAGCCUGAGCAGGGGAGGGCUGUGCUCAGUGUCAUCUGAGCAGCAAUGACCCCCAUGGGGCCUGGAGGCCAGUGGAGGGACAUUGGUUAACGUGGGUUAACAUGGCCUUUUUUGAAAAGGGUCGCCUUGGGAACGUACUGAGACUAGGUUGUAGGGAGAAGCUGGGUGGACUCCAGGAGACCAGUUAGGUCAUUGUGCUAAGCCAAGUUGGAGUGAUCGGUGGUGGCUUGGAGCAAGAGGGUGGUAAUAGUGGCUGGAUUUGACUCUGGUUUGAAAGUUGAGCUGAUGAAAGGGUUUGCUUAUGAAUCAGAGGAACGAGUGAGAGGGUAGUUGAAGAUGGCUCCAAGGUUUAUGCCUCACUGGCAGGGAGGGUAGAGUUGCCAUUCCUGAGUGGCUGGUAGGAGAGGUUCUGAGUUUGGAAGGAUGGCAGGAGCUUAGUCUUGGAUGGGUGCCGUUUGUGUGGCCUGUUGCACAUCCUAAUCAUUCAACACUCUUAGUCAAAACCCCACGGGUCUUUACGUUGUCCUCCCAGGCAGUCGUUGAUUUCUGCCCCCGUUUUGAGGUCCUUGUGUCCACUGUGGAAUGCUGGACUGUCCUUUAGGGCCGAUGGCUGGAUGGAGGCUUUAGGGCCCACUGGUUCCCACUUUCCUGCCUGAGGUCAGAGCCAGCUGUCAUCUCGGAGCUUCAUGUUCUUCCUUUCCAGUGUGGACAUGGCGAUGUCUCAUCAGGAAGUUGCAAGGAACAACAGGAGGAUGGUGGUGGUAGCUUUCCUAGAUUGAGGUAUUCACGGUAGAUGUGCGCGAAUGACGGGUGAGUGUGGAGGAGAAUCUGAAGAGGUAGAGAGAGCGCCUUUUACGAACCCUUGCGUCUCCGGGAUGGAUGUGUGCAUGGAUAACCGGGGACAAUACAAAACCAAACACACCCCACACCUCUGCAGUUCUGUUAUUUUUCUCCAGUUUACCAGUGUAGUUUUAAUUCUGUUCCUUUUCUCUAGAGAAGUUCCUUAUAAAUAAUCUCCCUCUCACAUUCCUUGUAAGUGUUCGGGAUAUGUGUUUGUCCUGAAAUACGUGUGUGAGUCUGCAUCCAUCCGUAGAAGUGUGUAUGCAUAGGCGCAUGUUUGUGGACAGAAACAGCCCAGCACUUCCGGAGCUUUCAGCUGUCCCUGUACGUGGCAUUGGGCCUACCUAACCUUUGCUUCUUUGCCGUAGACUCUCCAUCUGCAAAAUAGAGACAAUCCUUGCAGCUUUUCUUCUCUCUGGGAGGUUAAUGAUUGAGUGUAUGUAUAGUGCUGGGAAGCCUUUGAAGUAAAAUCACAAAGUACAUGUGUAUUAUUUUUGUAGCUCUAAUGGUAUUUAUAUUUAAAUCAUUAUUAUUACAAUAAUAAUACACUGGUUUGCCAAUAAAACACAAACCACUUCAGAAGAACGUUCUAAAAUGGUAGCAUUUUCUGAGGCCGGGCAGCAGUGUCUAAUUUUGGGCCUUCACAGUCAGUUUCGCGAUUCAUGUGUUAUGCAUUUUCAAAGAAUAAUCAAGAGCAUGCAGGAUUGCCCGGGGCAGUGAGUACUGAAAAUGUACAGUUGGGCCAGUUGUGCUAAGAGAGUGAUGGGACAUCUGCACGGACAUGGCUGUAUUUCACGCCAGUUAGGGGCUGUCACUGCAGCCGGCGCCAUCUUGGAGCCCUCGGAGCUUGACUUGGUGAUAAUGCGUCAUCAGAGCUGAGCACCUUGUGUCAGCUGUCCAGUUACAGCGAGGUGUAAAGUGGACGAGUGUCUCAGUGAUGACUGAUGGGUUUUUUCUUUCAGAUCCAUGCAAAAUUCAUAAACCUGAUUUAUAACCAGUGGAAUUUGUGCUGCCGGAAGCAGAAGGCUCAAAUGCGGAGCUUUGUUUUGUAGGAAAUGUCUUUCUUUAAGGUGUCCUGAUGCUUUCAUCCCUGAGCACAUCCAGGUGAUGACACCAGAGGCUCUGCAUGAGGGGAGACGAGGAAGCAGGUGUACCUGGUCUCCUUUCAUCUUGCAGGAAAUCCCAUUUAGCUUAUUGGAGUUGGACCAAUGAUCACAUUAAGAGCAGAAGUCACAGAGCAGGCUGUUUGUUACGAGUUUUGUAAAUAAGAUGUAUCCUGCUGAGCCCCACAGCACAGGGCACGUGGAUGUCCACAGGGGGACAGAUUGUGGCCAGGCACCCUUGGCAAGCAAGUUCUUACUGAGGUCAGAAGUGACUGGCCUGCCCUGUGGGUGGUUGACACUUUGCAGCCAUCAUAUCCCUCACAGCAUGUCCACAUCUUUGAAAGCAUUUUCCUCCCAGGCUCCGGGACAGCAAGCCUUCCUGGCCUUGGCAUUCCUGUGGACCCUGUCCCUCCUCACCAUCAUUUUCGGCUUCUGUGUGUGCCGCUUGUCCUCCUCUGCCUGGGCUGUUGGUUCUCUCGAGCUUUCUUCUUGACCUUCUCCCCUUUCAUCCUGCGUUCUCCACUCUUGCAUGCUAGUGUCUUCAUUGAACUGUGUACUUAAAGGUCCACAAGUGGCUUUUAGCAGGUUUAGGAGCCUCCUGACAUGAUACCAAAUGUUAUAUCUCUGUACGUUUUUCUGGAUAAAGGAAGCAUCGUUUUUAUCAGUUUUGGGUGUGGGUGUUGGCCUGCAAGGUUAAGAUGUCGUGCUCUGAAAUGUCAGCUUUCUAGCCCAGAUCUGUGUCCUGAGCUCCACUCCCUUGUAUCCACCUGCCUCCUUGCCAGCUCCUUGAAGAUGCUGGUACCACAGAGUCCAGUGCUGGAGGCAGAGGCAGCAUGCUGUCCCACACCUGCUGCCUUGGCCAUAUUCUUUGGUCAGUACAUCUGCCCAGUCUGCUGAAACCUGAGGGCCCCUGGAUUCUCUCUCUCAACCCCUCAGCAUUGUUGGUACCAGAGCUGACUCUGUCCCUGGUCACCCUCUCCUGUCCUCCACGUCAGGACCACCCCGUUGUCUCCUGCCUCUGGCCACCCUCUUGCCACAUUGCUUGGAUGGCCUUUCACCAGGUCUGAUCCGAGGGUGGUCUCGUCUUUGUCUUAGCAGCCGAGGUCUGUGACCUUGACCACCUGGUGAAGUGUUUGCUGUAAAGUCACUCUUUUUUCCUUGCUUCCCAUACUGCACUCUCUGGAAGGAAGUCACUGUGUGCAGCCCACACUGAACGGGUGGGGGUCAUACUUCACUUCCUUGAGGGGAGAGCAUGUUCAGAAAUUAUUUGGAAUUUUUUUGCAUGAGAGACUUUUCUGUUUUCCACAUUUAAUUUAUCCAAUUAUUUAUAUCAAUAUGAAUUUUAAAAUACUUCAUAUUUCGAGUUGCAGUCAAUAUUACAUUAUAUGUUUUAUUGCUCAGAUUGAUUCACCUUUGCCAUUGGAUGGUCUUUCUGUUGGCCCCUGGGUUCCAUGACACACUCUCAUCUGUGUGUGUGUGUGGCCAUUUCUCCAAGGAGCCCUAGUUCCUUUUAUUGGUGGAUUGUAUUAAAACCAAGAUCUGUAUGCCUGGUAUGUUCCUUGUCAAUUAUCUUUUAAAGAAAUUAUUUAAAAAAUGCCUUUCAUAUUUACCUUCAUUUUUAUAAUUUCCUGUUUUUUUUCAUUUAUUUUUGUAGGUCUGUAUCUACUUGGCCUUAAACAUGAUUUCUUUUGCCUGAAGAACUUUAACACUUUUUGUAGCUUUAGUUUGUCUGAAAAAACAUUUCACUUUGUUUUUGAAACAUAUUUUUACUGGGUACAGAAUCCUGGGUUACCAGUUUUAUUCCCAGUCCUUUAACACUGUCAUUCUAUUGUCUUUUUGUCCUGCAUAAUUUCGGAUUGGAAGUCUUUUGUCAUUAUUAUCUUUGGUCCAUGGCUUAGGAUUUGAUAGAAUUCUGUCAAAGUUAGCCAAAUCUAAUAUUAACAUUGACUGAGUAUUUACCUCUAUCAGGUGCUUUGUUCAGCUUAGCUGUGCAUGUGUGUGAUUCUCCCAACACCCUUAAGAGGGAGGCAGGGAGGGAGGUGGCAUUUUUCCAUGUAUAGGUAAGGAAGCUGAGAGUUGAUCAGGUUAACUGAUUUGUUGAAGGCCACUUAACUAGGAGGUAGCAGAGCUGUGAUGGUCUGAUGCCAGAGACAGUCUGCAUCUUAACCACUUUAUUGAAUUCAUCCUCUUCAGAAGGUCGAGGAUCAGGUCACGGUCACACUAGUGUAGUUAAAAUGCUGUUACCACAGUAGCAAGUCCACAGGGCCCAUAGGCACUAGAGUCAGACAGGUCCACAGUAGCAAGUCCACAGGGCCCAUAGGCACUAGAGUCAGACAGGCCCCAGCCCCAGUCCCGCUCUGCUUCUUGCAGGCUGCGUGACUUUGAACAUGUCCUUUGCCUUGCUCAGUUUGUGUUUUACCUCUUAAAUAGGUGAGAGCUGCUGUUUGCUUUAGAUCAGGAUUAAGAAACGUGAUGCGUGUAUGUGAGUACUGCGGUCAACACUGGGAAGUGUUUCUUGGUUGGGGUGUGCUCAUUCCUAUCUGUUGAAUGAACGAAUUGGAUUUUGUGCAGGUCAGAUACGUUGAUUUCCUUGUUCAAGGCGGAGAGUUGUGGGCAUAGCACACACUCGAGCAUCUUGCCUCACAUUUCAACCCCUCUCAUUGGCCCCCUCUCCUGGGCUCAUCUUUCCAAAGCACAGCCCUCAUGACGUCACUAUGUCUGUGGCUCCAUGCUCUGGGUGGAGAGCAGGAGCUGAGGACGCCGAGCUGAGUGAUGUGGAGGAUGGGACAAAACAGCCACCGAACGUGGCUGAGUACCAGCGUGUGUUCAGCUGAUUCGUUUGGGCUGGAGUGAAAUGGGUCAUCUACCCAUUAGGGAUCUAAUUGGAAAUAAUACUGUGCAAUUUAAUACAGUGAUUUCUUAACAUUUUUUUAGCCCAAAUUAGCAAAAUGCUUCAAAAUGUUACAGGCAAGUGAAGUGGAAAUAAUUGAAUCCCAGGAAAGGAUAAAUGGAUUGUAUUGGAAUAUUUCAAGGAGGAAUUUCUGAUCAGCUUAGGAAGCGAAGGGGUUAUCCUUGUGAUAUUUUAUUGAACCACAAAAUGUUAUUUAUAACCCAUGUCAGGAGCAAUUAAACUGAUUGAUGAUUAAGGAAGUUUAAUAGUUGAAUAAUAAGACGCGGCUUUUGAGAGCUGUUUUUUCUCAUUCUGGAAGCGUAUUUCGUGAGUCUAGUAACAGUGUUAAGGACAGGCCAUUGCUAUGCUGUGGGGUCAUUAUGUGGUGGUAAUGUUCAGCGUAGUGUUACGUGGUAUGUUACUUAUAAAAAAUUAAAAAUUAAAAUACCAAUUAUGUUUGUUUGAUUUGUUAUUGAAGUGGUUUGUUAAUUUUGAUUUACCCAAAGCAGGGUUAAUUACUACAUAUUGAUAUAUUUGAUUAAAAGUACGCUAACGAUGAAUAAGAAAGGCCAAACAAAAUAAAUUAUUUUCCACUCACCCUGAAUAGUUUCAGAAUUUUAGCAGUCUUUCAUGUUUAUGUAAAAAGGCAGCUUCACACUGGAAGGAUUUGCUGUGAUUGGCAGCUUCUUAGGCAUAUGUAUCAGCAGAGGCCGUAUUUGCAUUUUGAAAACAACCUAUGCUACUCACCUUGACACGUUUUCGUUUGUGUGUGUGUGGUAGUAUUUGUCUUUAUGAGCCAUUUCUUAUGUUCGGGAAGAUUAAUAAAUUAAAAUUCUUUCUUUUAGAAAUAAGCAGACAUGUUACAAAGUAGGAAACACAAAUGACUAAUAAGCUGAAAAAACCGUCUAACUUCACAGGUGAGGUGAAGUUGACACUCUUCCAGUCUUUUGCUGUGAAACAACCAUUCUGGAAAGCAGUUUGCUGGCCACUGAACAGCCCAGUGCCUCCCUGUCCCGAGGACAUAGAAGGUGAUGUGUGUGAAGGCUGAGCACGGGGCUCCCUGUGGAGGCAAAUGUUUGCAUGAGUUGAGGCUUGAACCAGCCCAGAUGCCCACCGAUAGAGGAAGUUUAAAGCCAUUGGGUACAUUGAUUUCUGUGUCGCCCUAAACAUGAUUUCAUAAAAACCUUUUUCAGUAUGUGAAAAUGAUCAGGGUAUAAAUAAAAACAAUAGGACAUAAAACUUCA
RNAcentral lists this long non-coding RNA (11330 nucleotides) under Homo sapiens (human). Its description in RNAcentral is "HSALNT0406510". Lineage: Eukaryota; Metazoa; Chordata; Mammalia; Primates; Hominidae. The record is from RNAcentral.